UCCUUUCUUAACGAAUGUUUCAAUGCUGGCUGUAGUAACAAUUUCAUAUCUUGCAUCUCUCGGGUGCAUCAUGUUCACGGGUUUGAAAAAGCAUUUGUGGUAAUGCUUCAAAGCUUGUACAAUGGCUGUGAAAAGGCACAUUCAAUUAGGUACGUUUUGGUGCGGUCUCCCAAUGCUAAUAUUAUAUUUUGUAUAGCAAUUAAAAUUUAGCUAUACAAUCUUAAUAUGCAAUAAAUCAUUGUAUACAAAGUUUUCUAUUAAUUAUAUGGUGACUGAAAUUUUAAUUAUCAUAUAUCAAUUUAAAUUUUUUUGUUACUCUCUUUUACUUUGCUUGUACAGAGUACCUGUUUUGGCUGAUAUGUCUAAUUCGUAGAAAUUCAUUUCCAUCGGUUUCCAUUGGCUUUAGCACAAACCGAAACAGAUCUCUGGGGAAAAGUUUUACUUCUUGUGAUAUUAUGCCUUUGUUUCUUCAUUCAUCAUAUUUUUCGAAUUCAUGCUCUCAUUCAG
This 507-nucleotide long non-coding RNA is filed under the name Citrus x clementina. RNAcentral's name for it is "Citrus clementina (C. clementina) long non-coding RNA (CCLE_LNC002490)". The record is from RNAcentral. Lineage: Eukaryota; Viridiplantae; Streptophyta; Magnoliopsida; Sapindales; Rutaceae.